GAGUUUGAUCUUGGCUCAGAUUGAACGCUGGCGGCAUGCCUUACACAUGCAAGUCGAACGGUAACAGGUCUUCGGAUGCUGACGAGUGGCGAACGGGUGAGUAAUACAUCGGAACGUGCCCGAUCGUGGGGGAUAACGAAGCGAAAGCUUUGCUAAUACCGCAUAAGAUCUACGGAUGAAAGCAGGGACCGCAAGGCCUUGCGCGAACGGAGCGGCCGAUGGCAGAUUAGGUAGUUGGUGGGAUAAAAGCUUACCAAGCCGACGAUCUGUAGCUGGUCUGAGAGGACGACCAGCCACACUGGGACUGAGACACGGCCCAGACUCCUACGGGAGGCAGCAGUGGGGAAUUUUGGACAAUGGGCGAAAGCCUGAUCCAGCCAUGCCGCGUGCAGGAUGAAGGCCUUCGGUUGUAAC
This 414-nucleotide ribosomal RNA is filed under the name uncultured microorganism. RNAcentral describes it as "bacterial SSU rRNA". It matches the Rfam family "Bacterial small subunit ribosomal RNA", at positions 9 to 429 of the family's 1533-position model. The record is from RNAcentral.